Molecule: ribosomal RNA, 253 nt
Filed under: uncultured bacterium
Lineage: Bacteria
Description: partial 16S ribosomal RNA
Rfam family: Bacterial small subunit ribosomal RNA
Source: RNAcentral
UACGUAGGGUGCGAGCGUUGUCCGGAAUUACUGGGCGUAAAGAGCUCGUAGGUGGUUUGUCGCGUUGUUCGUGAAAACUCACAGCUUAACUGUGGGCGUGCGGGCGAUACGGGCAGACUGGAGUACUGCAGGGGAGACUGGAAUUCCUGAUGUAGCGGUGGAAUGCGCAGAUAUCAGGAGGAACACCGGUGGCGAAGGCGGGUCUCUGGGCAGUAACUGACGCUGAGGAGCGAAAGCGUGGGGAGCGAACAGG